AGUAGUGUCUGGGAAACUGCCUGAUGGAGGGGGAUAACUACUGGAAACGGUAGCUAAUACCGCAUAACGUCGCAAGACCAAAGUGGGGGACCUUCGGGCCUCAUGCCAUCAGAUGUGCCCAGAUGGGAUUAGCUAGUAGGUGGGGUAACGGCUCACCUAGGCGACGAUCCCUAGCUGGUCUGAGAGGAUGACCAGCCACACUGGAACUGAGACACGGUCCAG
RNAcentral lists this ribosomal RNA (222 nucleotides) under uncultured bacterium. RNAcentral describes it as "partial 16S ribosomal RNA". It matches the Rfam family "Bacterial small subunit ribosomal RNA", at positions 109 to 334 of the family's 1533-position model. The record is from RNAcentral.